GGCUGACAGAUUGCACAGCUAUCACCUCAGGGAUGAAGUCUGUGUCAGGAAAAGGUACGAGGAGGAAGGCAGCGGACCAUUUCUUGCAAUUCAGAAAUGCUCUGCGUCUUUCCCCUGCGAGGGAACAUGAGUCAUCUUCUGCAGGUGAUGCUGACGUGCGUGGCCAAUCGGAUCAAGCGGAUGCACUGAUUUUGACUUGAGGGGAGAGCUGGAGUUACUCAUGCGGAUGGACUGAUGCCAUACUGCGAGAGCCGACUGGUGGAGGUAGGAUAUGAGUCUUUCUGUCAGCGGCGGAGCAGAAGGGGGAGUCGGGUCUAAUGAGGAGAGACGUUUCUGCUUUACCCUCCCCUCCCCUCAGUCACAUAUCAAAGGAGUGAAAGCCGUGAUGAAUCCACACCUUACGUACUUCCAGUGCACACGCUUCCCUUGUGUGCAGCUCACACUGUCACACAACAUCCUCAGCGUGUGAGUGCGUGUUCGCCAUCUCGAUUUUCAAUUCAAAAAGUCGCUCACUGUGCCUGUCGGUCAUACGAACAGGUGACUGCGAUGUCAGUUAUAUUACAGUAAUCCUUUCCUGUUGAUGUGACUCUCCUUGUUGCCGUGGUAACAGCAAGUGUGGCUCAGUACAUAACGGAAAAUCCUCGUUGACCAUCUGCCCUGAAAUAAUUCAACCCUCCUGUUGUCCUCAUUUACAGGCACCAAAAAAUAUUGUUUCCUUGUCUGAAAAAAAUCCAGCAUAAAAAUUCCCCAAAUUUCUGAAAAUUGCAAAAACUUCAGGAAGAAAAUUCCCAUAAUUCCUUCAA
This is a long non-coding RNA of Acanthochromis polyacanthus (spiny chromis), 803 nucleotides long. RefSeq lists it as uncharacterized. Lineage: Eukaryota; Metazoa; Chordata; Actinopteri; Pomacentridae. The transcript is spliced from 3 exons. The record is from RefSeq and is a predicted model, not a curated record.